Molecule: ribosomal RNA, 274 nt
Filed under: uncultured bacterium
Lineage: Bacteria
Description: partial 16S ribosomal RNA
Rfam family: Bacterial small subunit ribosomal RNA
Source: RNAcentral
AUACGGAGGGGGCAAGCGUUGUUCGGAAUUACUGGGCGUAAAGCGUACGUAGGCGGAUCGUUAAGUUAGAGGUGAAAUCCCAGGGCUCAACCCUGGAACUGCCUUUAAUACUGGCGAUCUAGAGAUCGAGAGAGGUGAGUGGGAUUUCCAGUGUAGAGGUGAAAUUCGUAGAUAUUUGAAAGAACACCAGUGGCGAAGGCGGCUAACUGGCUCGAUACUGACGCUGAGGUACGAAAGCGUGGGGAGCAAACAGGAUUAGAAACCCUAGUAGUCC